CAAGCUUAAAGCUUCUCUCCAGCCUUAACAUAAGCAUGCGCGGGUGCAAGAUUUGCAUCGUCGGAAGGAUCAAAACUACGUGCAUAGGACGCCCGAGCACUGCAGCUCGUCUCUAGCCUCAACACAAGCACGAGCCCAUGCAAGAAAUGUAUCAUCGACCGGAUCCAAACUCCUCGCAACAGGGAGUGCGCAUAAGCUUCCGCGACACGAGCUCAGGCAAUACAAUUGAAUGACAUGCCCUCGCAGUGCAACAUCUGCCUAAUAACACGCCCAAGCUCGGAGAUCAUCUCCAGCCUUAACAUAAGCAUACGUCCGUGCAAGAACUGCAUCGUCGGCAAGAUACGAGCUUGUGUGCCCAUGCGAGGCAGAUCCAAGAAUGUGUGCCUCGGCCGAAAGGGGACGGCGCCUCAUGCGUCGGCAUGCUGCAAGGUUGACUAUUGCUUGGUUUCGGGCAUCUUAUGACAAUGCAUCGCCCACACCGUGCGUUGACACCUAUUAGCACGCUCUUGCAUGGGGUUGGGCCCCAACAGCUUUGGUUGGAUCUUCCAUCCAUGUCUCGGCCUCGCCCUCUAC
RNAcentral lists this long non-coding RNA (573 nucleotides) under Ricinus communis (castor bean). RNAcentral's name for it is "long non-coding RNA (RCOM_LNC003648)". The record is from RNAcentral. Lineage: Eukaryota; Viridiplantae; Streptophyta; Magnoliopsida; Malpighiales; Euphorbiaceae.